UGGGGAAUAUUGCACAAUGGGCGAAAGCCUGAUGCAGCAACGCCGCGUGAGGGACGACGGCCUUCGGGUUGUAAACCUCUUUUAGCAAGGAAGAAGCGAAAGUGACGGUACUUGCAGAAAAACGCGCCGGCUAACUACGUGCCAGCAGCCGCGGUAAUACGUAGGGCGCAAGCGUUAUCCGGAAUUAUUGGGCGUAAAGAGCUCGUAGGCGGUUUGUCGCGUCUGCUGUGAAAAACCCCGAGGCUCAACCUCGGGCCUGCAGUGGGUACGGGCAGACUAGAGUGCGGUAGGGGAAGAUUGGAACUCCUGGUGUAGCGGUGGAAUGCGCAGAUAUCAGGAAGAACACCGAUGGCGAAGGCAGAUCUCUGGGCCCGUAACUGACGCUGAGG
Molecule: ribosomal RNA, 389 nt
Filed under: uncultured bacterium
Lineage: Bacteria
Description: partial 16S ribosomal RNA
Rfam family: Bacterial small subunit ribosomal RNA
Source: RNAcentral